This 506-nucleotide ribosomal RNA is filed under the name uncultured bacterium. RNAcentral describes it as "bacterial SSU rRNA". It matches the Rfam family "Bacterial small subunit ribosomal RNA", at positions 28 to 526 of the family's 1533-position model. The record is from RNAcentral.
GAUGAACGCUAGCGACAGGCCUAACACAUGCAAGUCGAGGGGCAGCACAAGGUAGCAAUACUGAGGUGGCGACCAGCGCACGGGUGAGUAACGCGUAUGCAACCUGCCUGUAACAGGGGAAUAGCCUCUUGAAAGAGAGAUUAAUGCCGCAUAAUACGAGAUUCGGGCAUCCGGAUUUUGUUAAACAUUUAUGGGUUACAGAGGGGCAUGCGUGUCAUUAGGUAGUUGGUGAGGUAACGGCUCACCAAGCCGACGAUGAAAAGGGGUUCUGAGAGGAAGGUCCCCCUCCCUGGUACUGAGACACGGACCAGACUCCUACGGGAGGCAGCAGUGAGGAAGAUUGGUCAAUGUAAGCAAGUCUGAACCAGCCAAGUCGCGUGAAGGAUGAAGGUAUUAUGUAUUGUAAACUUCUUUUAUCAGGGAAUAAUGGUCGCUACGUGUAGCGAAGAGGAAUGUACCUGAUGAAUAAGCAUCGGCUAACUCCGUGCCAGCCGCCGCCGUAAUAC